RNAcentral lists this ribosomal RNA (450 nucleotides) under uncultured bacterium. RNAcentral's name for it is "bacterial SSU rRNA". It matches the Rfam family "Bacterial small subunit ribosomal RNA", at positions 354 to 796 of the family's 1533-position model. The record is from RNAcentral.
GUGGGGAAUAUUGGACAAUGGGCGAAAGCCUGAUCCAGCCAUGCCGCGUGUGUGAAGAAGGUCUUCGGAUUGUAAAGCACUUUAAGUUGGGAGGGAGGGUAGUAACCUAAUACGUUGCUACUUUGACGUUACCGACAGAAUAAGCACCGGCUAACUUCGUGCCAGCAGCCGCGGUAAUACGAAGGGUGCAAGCGUUAAUCGGAAUUACUGGGCGUAAAGCGCGCGUAGGUGGUGUUGUAAGUUGGAGGUGAAAUCCCCGGGCUCAACCUGGGAACUGCCUCCAAAACUGCAUGACUAGAGUACGGUAGAGGGUAGUGGAAUUUCCUGUGUAGCGGUGAAAUGCGUAGAUAUAGGAAGGAACACCAGUGGCGAAGGCGACUACCUGGACUGAUACUGACACUGAGGUGCGAAAGCGUGGGGAGCAAACAGGAUUAGAAACCCGAGUAGUCC